GCGCCUGUAGCUCAGUUGGAUAGAGCGUCAGAUUGCGGAUCUGAAGGUCACAGGUUCAAGUCCUGUCAGGCGUACCA
Molecule: transfer RNA, 77 nt
Filed under: bacterium
Lineage: Bacteria
Description: tRNA-Arg
Rfam family: tRNA
About the family: Transfer RNA (tRNA) molecules are approximately 80 nucleotides in length.
Source: RNAcentral